GAGGAAUAUUGCGCAAUGGAGGCAACUCUGACGCAGCCAUGCCGCGUGCAGGAAGAAGGCGCUACGCGUUGUAAACUGCUUUUAACCGGGAAGAAACCCCAGGACGUGUCCUGGGUUGACGGUACCGGAGGAAUAAGCACCGGCUAACUUCGUGCCAACAGCCGCGGUAAUACGAAGGGUGCAAGCGUUAUCCGGAUUCAUUGGGUUUAAAGGGUGCGUAGGUGGGGCGGUAAGUCAGUGGUGAAAUCCUGCAGCUCAACUGUAGAAUUGCCAUUGAUACUGCCGCUCUUGAGUACGCUUGACGUGGGCGGAAUGUGCCGUGUAGCGGUGAAAUGCUUAGAUAUGGCACAGAACACCGAUAGUGAAGACAGCUCACGAAGGCGAAACUGACACUGAGGCACGAAAGCGUGGGGAUCGAAC
Molecule: ribosomal RNA, 420 nt
Filed under: uncultured bacterium
Lineage: Bacteria
Description: bacterial SSU rRNA
Rfam family: Bacterial small subunit ribosomal RNA
Source: RNAcentral